GAUGAACGCUGGCGGCGUGCCUAAUACAUGCAAGUCGAGCGAACGGACGAGAAGCUUGCUUCUCUGAUGUUAGCGGCGGACGGGUGAGUAACACGUGGAUAACCUACCUAUAAGACUGGGAUAACUUCGGGAAACCGGAGCUAAUACCGGAUAAUAUUUUGAACCGCAUGGUUCAAAAGUGAAAGACGGUCUUGCUGUCACUUAUAGAUGGAUCCGCGCCGCAUUAGCUAGUUGGUAAGGUAACGGCUUACCAAGGCAACGAUGCAUAGCCGACCUGAGAGGGUGAUCGGCCACACUGGAACUGAGACACGGUCCAGACUCCUACGGGAGGCAGCAGUAGGGAAUCUUCCGCAAAGGGCGAAAGCCUGACGGAGCAACGCCGCGUGAGUGAUGAAGGUCUUCGGAUCGUAAAACUCUGUUAUUAGGGAAGAACAUAUGUGUAAGUAACUGUGCACAUCUUGACGGUACCUAAUCAGAAAGCCACGGCUAACUACGUG
This 497-nucleotide ribosomal RNA is filed under the name uncultured bacterium. RNAcentral's name for it is "partial 16S ribosomal RNA". It matches the Rfam family "Bacterial small subunit ribosomal RNA", at positions 28 to 507 of the family's 1533-position model. The record is from RNAcentral.